ACUUACUGCUCAGGGUUUAUAGAAGGCUGUCCAGAUGAUGCUUUCAGAAGCAAUGAACAUUACAAUUAUCCUGCAUGUCAACAAAUCAACACACAAGGUCACUGCUAUCUUGCCGAUCCUUCCUGUUCAAAAUUAACAGAGAAUAUCUUUCACAAAUCAAGGGCUACUACAACUAGAAUAAACGUAGACCAUGAAGUUUACAGCAGCACGAUAAUAAAUAUUCAAACAGCCUCACUCCAGGAGUAUGAAACCGCCGAAA
Saccostrea cuccullata (small rock oyster) is the source of this 259-nucleotide long non-coding RNA. RefSeq lists it as uncharacterized. The record is from RefSeq and is a predicted model, not a curated record. NCBI's taxonomy places the organism in Eukaryota, Metazoa, Mollusca, Bivalvia, Ostreida, Ostreidae. The transcript has 3 exons.